GCUGAGGUGGUGGAACUGGUAGACACGCAAGCUUGAGGGGCUUGUGGCCGCAAGGUCGUGGAGGUUCAAGUCCUCUUCUCAGCA
This 84-nucleotide transfer RNA is filed under the name Candidatus Falkowiibacteriota bacterium. Its description in RNAcentral is "tRNA-Leu". It matches the Rfam family "tRNA". Rfam says of the family: Transfer RNA (tRNA) molecules are approximately 80 nucleotides in length. Their secondary structure includes four short double-helical elements and three loops (D, anti-codon, and T loops). Lineage: Bacteria; Candidatus Falkowiibacteriota. The record is from RNAcentral.